UUUCAAGGGUUUGCACCCUAUUUAAACUCUCAUUCCGCCCCAACUCGUCCCCAUUCACCCCCAGAACUCCCCCUACAUCGUUUUCCCUUGUUUUCUUGAGAGUUUGAGGUGUUCUUGGUGUGUUCUUGAAGGUUUUGAAGAGUAAGAGGAGUAGAUCAAGAAGAGGAGGAGGAAAUCAGCCAUCCUUGUGUCAUUUCAACAUUUCCUUUGAGGUAUAACCCGUUUUCCCCUUGAUUCUAUGCUUAAAACUUCAUUUGGGUCCUUCUUGGUCAAUUCCCCAAGUUUGCAUGUUCAUUAUAUGUUGUAAUAAGGCGUUUGGCCUUUGGAUCUAUGUAAGAUUGAGCUCCAGGAGCUCAGAUCUGUUAGCUUUUUGGCCUCAUGAGGCUUGUUAGCCCUAGAUCUACCAUUUUGGGACAUUUUGAGCCUUAUAAUCCAUAUUGGUGAAUAUCCACACGUAAAGUUGGAAACUUUACGUGUGAUUCGUGUCCUAGAAGUCCAGAUCUAUGAAUGGCAUGGUCUGGAACCGAGCAAAUCGGUAUAUUUAAGGAGUGCAUGGCGACGACUCGGCGAGUCGCAUAGGUGACUCGGCGAGUCUGGUCGCGAGUCACCGAAUUGGUCCCUUCUUCAUGUGUCGAGUUGAGCCUUGAGUCACAGGGGGUGACUCGGUGAGUUGGGAGCUGAACUCACCCAUGUUAGGACUCGGCGAGUCAAUGCCCUGACUCGGCGAGUCCAAGGCAAUCUUCAUAGCUCAAGAACAGACUCGGCGAGUUGUUCAUACAACUCGGCGAGUCUUAGCAUAAAGUGUUCAUCGGAUGAAGAUGAACUCGACGAGUUGUUCAUACAACUCGGCGAGUAGGAUGAAGGUGUUGAAUGGCAGUUAGAAGGUGAACUCGUCGAGUCAUAGCCCGACUCGACGAGUAGAACCAGGGACCCAGGACAUUGGUUUGCUAGGGACUCGGCGAGUGGUGAUCCACUCGGCGAGUCGGGUCAACUGAAAGUUGACUCCAGCUUUGGCUUAGAGUUAAUCCAGGGGUAAAAUGGUCAUUUUACCUAAAGGACAGUUAGCAGUGUUUGAUUGAGUAUGUCGUGGAAAUUGCAGCCGGAGGACUCCCGGAGCAGCAGCAGUCAGUUAGUUCCCGAUCAGUUCAGCAGCUACUUUGAGGUGAGUUACCUUCCAGUAGCGGUGGGUCUAAGGCCACAAUGCCGACCCACCAGUAGGAGUUGUAUGAUAGAUGAUUGUCUUUGUGAUAUCAUCUAAGUUCGCUAGUACCUGACAUGUUAUAUGCUAGCAUGAUAUGCUGUAUGUGAUAGUAGUAGAGUUUGGUUGUUCGGACCGAAGGGUAGUCAGACACCCCAGAUACGUCUGACAGUAUGUGACGAUAUGUAUGCAUGCUGGCUUGUUAUGUUAUAUGUGAUCGUAGUAGUAGGGGUGAAAUAGUCCCCGAGGAUCGGUUGUUAGGACCGAUGGGUAGUCAGCACCCCAGAAUGGCUUGACACGGGUAAGACGGCACCCCAGAAUGGCCGUAUGGGUAGGUCGGCACCCCAGAAUGGCCGUACCGGGUAGUCAGGCACCCCAGAAUAGCCUGGCAGUAUAUAUGUUAUGUGUUUGUAUGGUAUGCGGUACGUUGGGGGAACUCACUAAGCUUUGUGCUUACGUUUACAGUUUUGUUUUCAGGUACCUCUGCAUCGAAGGGGAAGGAGCCGGCGCGGUAGCGGCACGUCAUACACACACUCUUCGGUUUCCGCAUUUAUGAGAUUUACUGGGAUUGUACUCUGAUAUUUGAUGGGAUGUACGGUUUGGCUUUUGAGAACAUGGUUGCAAUGUGUUAUGGUGUGAACAAACAAUGUUUCUUUUUAUUUAGACAAUGUUUUUAUUUAUUAAUGUUUUCUAAAGUAAUAUCAAAAAAAAAAAAAAAUUUGGGUCGUUACAAGUUGGUAUCAGAGCCCUGGUUUGAGGGAUUCGGACACGCCUUCGGGAGUGUUUGGACUCAAACCGAGGGAUUGAAAGAUUUUUCCAAAAGAAAUUAUUCUUUAAAACCCGGAAAAGAGUCACGAGAAAGAGUAAAGUGUGUGACGUGCGCGACCGGCCGAGCUCAAGUAAGUAUUCCCCAUAGUACCCAUACAAGUUUAUGUUAUGUUUAUCAGCUUUAUGAAUAUUGCAUGCUAGAAUAGGCUAAGGAUCUAGGAGUGAUGCCUUAUGUGCCUGUUUAUUUGUUACAGCUUAUUGAAUAUUGCAUGCUAGAAUUGAGUAGACAGCAGUAGGGUAGCCUGUUUAGGUUAUGCCUGAUAGUAUGAGCUUAGCAUCCUAUGUUAAGUGUCGUUUCUUGUUCUAAGAACAGUUUUGGCUUGAGUCUGUUUUUCCUUAUCCGAAUGCUGCUUGCUUCGUGCUCGGUGGGAUUCUGAGUAAUGGGAGUGAGCCACUAGGUAAACACGUCACACCACAUGUAAUCGGGGUUGAAUAAUCCCAAAGUGUUGGAACUGGCCCUAUUGCGCAGCUCUUGUUUGAGUCCAACCGUUGUAGGGACGGGCCUUUUACUUGAAGGAUGAUCUAAUCCUCAUCACAGGUGGUGGUGUUUAGGUGGUGGCUAACUGGCAUUAUGAGGAGACCUACAGCAGCUGAGGACCAGUUGUGUUGAACUUGAGUUCUCCCUAGGGCAAGCCUAGGGUGAGAAUAUCGGAGAGUAGCAGUAGUAGAGGGGAGUUGGUGGAGUCGAGGAAUUCCUCGGAGAAGGUACGGAUAGAUGUGGAAGGUAGUAUGGGCCCGUACUACUGAAAGCAGAGGAUCCGUACCCGAGCCGAGGAAGGCCAAGACGAGACCAAGGAACCUGUAAGUAGUUGAGAUCCCUCAGAAAGUAGCAGUACCACUAAUGAUUAUUAUUGAUGUUUUGCAGAAUGGUGGUACUUCGACCGAGACCGACAGAUGGCGGGUCAGGAGAGGGGUCAGGUUCGGGAUCUGGCACCGAGCCGAUUGAGGAGAGGCUACGUGAGUUCAUCACGUCGGAGAUCACUAGGGGCAUCCUUGAGUCGACCCCCAUCAUCUUUGGGUCGAUCAAGGAAGGGAUCGUGGAGAUGAUGGAGGAUCGCCUACGGGCAUUCAGGAGCGACUUGGCCUCUAGCCAGUCAGGAUCUCGCACACUGUCCUUCAAGGACUUCAGGAGCAGUGGUGCGCCGGAUUUCCAUGGGGUGAAGGACCCCAUUGUCGCCAGGCGGUGGAUUGCGGAUAUCGAGUCCGCCCAGUUGAUCAGCUUCUGCCCCGAGGGGUCGAAGGUGAGGUACGCAGCAGGGUGUUUACGGGACCGGGCCCGAGAUUGGUGGGAGUCAGUGGGUGACUCGAUGGGAGCCUCGGCUAUCGAGGCAAUGACCUGGUCGGACUUUGUGGCUAGGUUCAGGGCAGAGUUUGCGCCAGCGGUCGAGCUUCAGCAGCUGGCCAGGGAGUUCUUAGACAUGAGGCAGACGACAGAGACCGUGGCGGAGAUCACCGCCAAGUUUCGGGAGAGGGCUUUAUUGGUGCCCCAGUAUGCAGGUGACGAGGAUAUGAGGAGGACUCGUUACCAUGAUAUGCUACGAGCUGACAUUCGGGAGCAUGUUAGUUUUUCGGCUUGCCCUACCCUGGACUCCAUGAUUGCCAGGGCUAGGGAGAGAGAGAUAGAUUUGGAGCACAUCCGGAAACGGAAACUUGAGGAUGGUCAGUCAUCGGGGGCUUCGGGGAAGAAGCCCAAGGGAUCAGAUGGGAGGCCGAAAGGCCAGUCGGGACCGAGCCGCUGCAGGAGGUGCGGCAGGCCGCACGAGGGGGCGUGCAGGAUGGGAUCGUCAGGCUGCUACAAGUGCGGCAAGUUUGGGCAUAUCAGCAGGGAUUGCACUGCUCCUGCGACCGUUAUUCAGACAUCGGAGUUGCUGUGUUUCCACUGCAACCAGAGGGGCCACAAGAAGGCCAAUUGCCCCAUGUUGACAGCUUCAGCGCCAGUGAAGGCGCCAGCUCCAGCGACCCUGCGGAUCACGGAUGGCCGUCAGGGCAAGGCAGAGGCUCCAGUGGUGAGGAGUCGGGCAUUUCAGUUGACUGCCGAGGAGGCACGCGCCGCGCCCGAUGUGGUGACGGGUAUGAUUCCUUCCUUCUAUCUUUUAUUUUACGUUGUUAUGAUAUUGAUAUGUGCUCCGUGUGUAUACAUGUGUAUUAGGAUCGUUCCAUGUGAACGGCAUCCCGGUUCAGGUAUUGUUCGACUCGGGUGCAUCCCGAUCGUUCGUUUCUCUUGCUCUUAGCAAGAGAUUUCAUGAGACUUCAGGCGAGUUAGAUUGCCCGUUAGAGGUAGAGAUUGCCGAUGAUCGAUCGGUGCGAGCAUCGAUGGUGUUUCGAGAUUGUGUCCUGCGACUGUUUGAGGAGUGUUACCUGGUAGACUUGGUUCCCAUUCCAUUGCGUGGGAACAAGGUGAUUAUUGGUAUGGAUUGGUUGAGCCCUAAUGGGGCAGUGAUAGAUUGCGCACAGCAGCUAGUGCGAGUCAAGACCCCAAGCGGGGGAGAGUUAGUGAUUCAUGGAGAGCGGCCGCAGUGUGGACCCACUGUAUGUUCAGCAGCGAGGGCUAGGCGCUACCUUCAGCAGGGAUGCGCGGGUUAUGUCGCGUACGUGAUGGACACCCGGGAGGCGGGUAAGGCGACCGUGAGCGAGGUCCCGGUGGUUCGAGAUUUUGCUGAUGUUUUUCCGGAGGAACUACCUGGGAUACCUCCGGAGCGACAGGUGGAGUUCAGGAUUGACCUCGUUCCCGGUGCGGCUCCGAUAGCCAAAGCACCGUAUCGGUUGGCUCCUCCCGAGAUGCAGGAGUUGUCUACGCAGCUGCAGGAGCUGCUGGACAAGGGAUUUAUUCGGCCGAGCAGUUCGCCCUGGGGAGCCCCGAUUCUGUUUGUGAAGAAGAAGGAUGGGUCGCAUCGGAUGUGUAUAGAUUAUCGGGAGCUGAACAAGGUAACGGUGAAGAACCGUUACCCGCUUCCGAGGAUUGAUGACCUCUUUGACCAGCUUCAGGGCGCAUCUUGGUUCUCCAAGAUUGAUUUGCGUUCGGGUUAUCAUCAGAUGAGGGUCAGGGAGGAGGAUAUGCAGAAGACCGCGUUUCGGACGCGCUAUGGCCAUUACGAGUUUGUGGUGAUGCCGUUUGGGCUCACCAAUGCUCCUGCCGCGUUCAUGGACCUCAUGAACCGUGUAUGCAGACCGAUGCUGGACCGGUCUGUGAUAGUCUUUAUCGAUGAUAUCUUGGUUUAUUCCAAGACCCGGGAGGAACAUGAGGAGCAUUUGAGAGAGGUGUUAGAGACCCUGAGGAGGGAGAGCUUGUAUGCCAAGUUCUCCAAGUGUGAGUUUUGGUUGCGCGAGGUGCAAUUUCUGGGGCACCUCGUCAACCAGAACGGGAUUCUGGUCGAUCCGGCCAAGGUCGAGGCCGUGAUGAGAUGGGAGGUUCCGAAGUCCCCAUCUGAGAUUCGGAGCUUCCUAGGAUUGGCAGGCUACUAUCGGAGAUUUAUCCAGGAUUUCUCCAAGAUAGCCGUGCCCCUGACGCGGCUGACGAAGAAAGCCGUGGUCUUUCGGUGGGGACCCGAGCAGCAGGCUGCAUUUGAGACGCUGAGACAGAGAUUGUGUGAGGCGCCGAUCUUAGCCCUGCCAGAGGGCGUAGAGGAUUUCGUGGUUUAUUGCGAUGCGUCCAUUUCUGGGUUGGGCGCGGUGCUGAUGCAAAGGGGGCAUGUCAUUGCUUACGCUUCGAGGCAGCUCAAGCCUCACGAGGCGAACUACCCGACGCACGAUUUGGAGUUGGGGGCGGUGGUAUUUGCCCUCAAGAUUUGGCGACAUUACCUCUAUGGGGUUCGGUGUACCAUCUACACGGACCACAAGAGCUUGAGGUACCUCAUGGACCAGCCGAAUCUGAACAUGAGGCAGCGUCGGUGGUUGGAUGUGGUGAAGGAUUAUGAUUGCGAGAUCCUUUACCACCCGGGAAAGGCCAAUGUGGUGGCCGAUGCGCUUAGCCGCAAGACGGCGCCGAUCAGGGACGCCUGUUUGAGGAUGACUGUGGUGACUCCCCUGUUGGAGCAGAUUCGGGAAGCUCAACAGGAGGCUAUCAAGGAGGAGCAUCGGAAGAACGAGCGCGUAGUAGGUCAGGUUUCCUCCUUCGAUUAUGAUAGCCGAGGGUUAUUGACACUACACCAUAGGGUGUGGGUGCCGUAUCACGGGGGCGUGCGCCAGAUUUUGAUGGAGGAGGCGCACAAGUCCCGAUUCUCUAUUCAUCCCGGGGCGACGAAGAUGUAUAGGGAUCUUCGUCUAGACUAUUGGUGGCCCUGCAUGAAGCGGGAUGUGGCAUGGUACGUCGAGCGGUGCUUGACCUGCAGGAAGGUCAAGGCCGAACAUCAGAGGCCGCAUGGCAAGAUGCAGCCGUUGGACAUUCCACUGUGGAAGUGGGAAGAUAUCACGAUGGAUUUUAUCACGAAGCUUCCCAGGACCGCGCGUGGAGUGGAUUCGAUUUGGGUCAUCGUGGAUAGAUUGACCAAGAGUGCUCACUUUAUUCCGAUUCCGGAGAGCAUAUCGGCCGAGAAAUUGGCCGACAUCUAUAUCAGGGAGAUUGUGGCACGGCAUGGGGUGCCAGUAUCGGUGAUCUCGGACAGGGAUGUGCGUUUUACUUCCAGGUUUUGGAAGAGAUUCCAUGACGAGUUGGGCACUCGUCUGCAUUUCAGCACCGCCUUUCACCCGCAGACAGAUGGACAGAGUGAGCGGACCAUCCAGACUUUGGAGGACAUGUUGCGGGCGUGUGUUCUGGAUUUCGGUGGUAGCUGGGAUACCUAUCUUCCUUUGGCUGAGUUCUCCUACAACAACAGCUAUCACGCGAGUAUCGACCGCCCUCCCUUCGAGAUGUUGUACGGACGGAGGUGUAGGACCCCGAUAUGCUGGGGUGAGGUUGGCCAGAGAGUUAUGGGAAGCACCGAAGUGGUGCUCAAGACGACUGAGAGGAUACAGCAGGUCCGGAGCAGGCUUCAGACUGCUCAGAGUCGACAGAAAAGUUAUGCCGACAAGCGUCGAUCCGAUUUAGAGUUCCAGGUCGGGGAUAUGGUCCUCCUGAAGGUGUCACCGUGGAAAGGCGUCAUCCGAUUCAGGAAGCGGGGCAAGUUGGGCCCGCGAUUCAUCGGACCGUUCAGGGUCUUAGCCCGGGUGGGCAAGGUAGCAUAUAGGCUGGAUCUGCCAGCCGAGCUUAGCCAGAUCCACAGCACUUUCCAUGUUUCGCAGUUGCGGAAGUGCCUAGUGGACGAUUCUGCAGUAGUACCUUUGGAGGAUAUUCAGGUUGAUGACAGCCUGAACUACAUCGAGCGCCCAGUCGCAAUCCUCGACAGGAAGUCGAAGGAUUUAAGGAACAAGAGGGUGGAGCUAGUGAAGGUGCAAUGGCAGCACCGCAAGGGUUCAGAGUGGACUUGGGAGCCGGUAGACGAGAUGAUGGAGCACUACCCCGAGCUGUUUCAGGAUCAGGCAGCAGACUUCGAGGACGAAGUCUAAAAUAAGUGGGGGAGAUUUGUAGCACCUGGUUUCCGGUAUGUGAAUUUUAUUUGAGCAUUGCCCUAAUUUAGCCUUAGACUCGGCGAGUCAUAGGGUCCGACUCGCCGAGUAGGGACGAGACUCAGGACGCGUUUUAAGUAGGCGACUCGACGAGUCCAUAUCCUGGACUCGGCGAGUCACCGCUGCGGGAUGAAACCCUAAGUUUCAAGGGUUUGCACCCUAUUUAAACCCUCAUUCCGCCCCAACUCGUCCCCAUUCACCCCCAGAACUCCCCCUACAUCGUUUUCCCUUGUUUCCUUGAGAGUUUGAGGUGUUCUUGGUGUGUUCUUGAAGGUUUUGAAGAGUAAGAGGAGUAGAUCAAGAAGAGGAGAAGGAGAUCAGCCAUCCUUGUGUCAUUUCAACAUUUCCUUUGAGGUAUAACCCGUUUUCCCCUUGAUUCUAUGCUUAAAACUUCAUUUGGGUCCUUCUUGGUCAAUUCCCCAAGUUUGCAUGUUCAUUAUAUGUUGUAAUAAGGCGUUUGGCCUUUGGAUCUAUGUAAGAUUGAGCUCCAGGAGCUCAGAUCUGUUAGCUUUUUGGCCUCAUGAGGCUUGUUAGCCCUAGAUCUACCAUUUUGAGACAUUUUGAGCCUUAUAAUCCAUAUUGGUGAAUAUCCACACGUAAAGUUGGAAACUUUACGUGUGAUUCGUGUCCUAGAAGUCCAGAUCUAUGAAUGGCAUGGUCUGGAACCGAGCAAAUCGGUAUAUUUAAGGAGUGCAUGGCGACGACUCGGCGAGUCGCAUAGGUGACUCGGCGAGUCUGGUCGCGAGUCACCGAAUUGGUCCCUUCUUCAUGUGUCGAGUUGAGCCUUGAGUCACAGGGGGUGACUCGGUGAGUUGGGAGCUGAACUCACCCAUGUUAGGACUCGGCGAGUCAAUGCCCUGACUCGGCGAGUCCAAGGCAAUCUUCAUAGCUCAAGAACAGACUCGGCGAGUUGUUCAUACAACUCGGCGAGUCUUAGCAUAAAGUGUUCAUCGGAUGAAGAUGAACUCGACGAGUUGUUCAUACAACUCGGCGAGUAGGA
RNAcentral lists this long non-coding RNA (8567 nucleotides) under Lactuca sativa (garden lettuce). Its description in RNAcentral is "long non-coding RNA (LSAT_LNC001786)". Lineage: Eukaryota; Viridiplantae; Streptophyta; Magnoliopsida; Asterales; Asteraceae. The record is from RNAcentral.